Molecule: ribosomal RNA, 2901 nt
Filed under: Escherichia coli
Lineage: Bacteria; Pseudomonadati; Pseudomonadota; Gammaproteobacteria; Enterobacterales; Enterobacteriaceae
Description: 23S ribosomal RNA
Rfam family: Bacterial large subunit ribosomal RNA
Source: RNAcentral
UUAAGCGACUAAGCGUACACGGUGGAUGCCCUGGCAGUCAGAGGCGAUGAAGGACGUGCUAAUCUGCGAUAAGCGUCGGUAAGGUGAUAUGAACCGUUAUAACCGGCGAUUUCCGAAUGGGGAAACCCAGUGUGUUUCGACACACUAUCAUUAACUGAAUCCAUAGGUUAAUGAGGCGAACCGGGGGAACUGAAACAUCUAAGUACCCCGAGGAAAAGAAAUCAACCGAGAUUCCCCCAGUAGCGGCGAGCGAACGGGGAGCAGCCCAGAGCCUGAAUCAGUGUGUGUGUUAGUGGAAGCGUCUGGAAAGGCGCGCGAUACAGGGUGACAGCCCCGUACACAAAAAUGCACAUGCUGUGAGCUCGAUGAGUAGGGCGGGACACGUGGUAUCCUGUCUGAAUAUGGGGGGACCAUCCUCCAAGGCUAAAUACUCCUGACUGACCGAUAGUGAACCAGUACCGUGAGGGAAAGGCGAAAAGAACCCCGGCGAGGGGAGUGAAAAAGAACCUGAAACCGUGUACGUACAAGCAGUGGGAGCACGCUUAGGCGUGUGACUGCGUACCUUUUGUAUAAUGGGUCAGCGACUUAUAUUCUGUAGCAAGGUUAACCGAAUAGGGGAGCCGAAGGGAAACCGAGUCUUAACUGGGCGUUAAGUUGCAGGGUAUAGACCCGAAACCCGGUGAUCUAGCCAUGGGCAGGUUGAAGGUUGGGUAACACUAACUGGAGGACCGAACCGACUAAUGUUGAAAAAUUAGCGGAUGACUUGUGGCUGGGGGUGAAAGGCCAAUCAAACCGGGAGAUAGCUGGUUCUCCCCGAAAGCUAUUUAGGUAGCGCCUCGUGAAUUCAUCUCCGGGGGUAGAGCACUGUUUCGGCAAGGGGGUCAUCCCGACUUACCAACCCGAUGCAAACUGCGAAUACCGGAGAAUGUUAUCACGGGAGACACACGGCGGGUGCUAACGUCCGUCGUGAAGAGGGAAACAACCCAGACCGCCAGCUAAGGUCCCAAAGUCAUGGUUAAGUGGGAAACGAUGUGGGAAGGCCCAGACAGCCAGGAUGUUGGCUUAGAAGCAGCCAUCAUUUAAAGAAAGCGUAAUAGCUCACUGGUCGAGUCGGCCUGCGCGGAAGAUGUAACGGGGCUAAACCAUGCACCGAAGCUGCGGCAGCGACGCUUAUGCGUUGUUGGGUAGGGGAGCGUUCUGUAAGCCUGUGAAGGUGUGCUGUGAGGCAUGCUGGAGGUAUCAGAAGUGCGAAUGCUGACAUAAGUAACGAUAAAGCGGGUGAAAAGCCCGCUCGCCGGAAGACCAAGGGUUCCUGUCCAACGUUAAUCGGGGCAGGGUGAGUCGACCCCUAAGGCGAGGCCGAAAGGCGUAGUCGAUGGGAAACAGGUUAAUAUUCCUGUACUUGGUGUUACUGCGAAGGGGGGACGGAGAAGGCUAUGUUGGCCGGGCGACGGUUGUCCCGGUUUAAGCGUGUAGGCUGGUUUUCCAGGCAAAUCCGGAAAAUCAAGGCUGAGGCGUGAUGACGAGGCACUACGGUGCUGAAGCAACAAAUGCCCUGCUUCCAGGAAAAGCCUCUAAGCAUCAGGUAACAUCAAAUCGUACCCCAAACCGACACAGGUGGUCAGGUAGAGAAUACCAAGGCGCUUGAGAGAACUCGGGUGAAGGAACUAGGCAAAAUGGUGCCGUAACUUCGGGAGAAGGCACGCUGAUAUGUAGGUGAAGUCCCUCGCGGAUGGAGCUGAAAUCAGUCGAAGAUACCAGCUGGCUGCAACUGUUUAUUAAAAACACAGCACUGUGCAAACACGAAAGUGGACGUAUACGGUGUGACGCCUGCCCGGUGCCGGAAGGUUAAUUGAUGGGGUCAGCGCAAGCGAAGCUCUUGAUCGAAGCCCCGGUAAACGGCGGCCGUAACUAUAACGGUCCUAAGGUAGCGAAAUUCCUUGUCGGGUAAGUUCCGACCUGCACGAAUGGCGUAAUGAUGGCCAGGCUGUCUCCACCCGAGACUCAGUGAAAUUGAACUCGCUGUGAAGAUGCAGUGUACCCGCGGCAAGACGGAAAGACCCCGUGAACCUUUACUAUAGCUUGACACUGAACAUUGAGCCUUGAUGUGUAGGAUAGGUGGGAGGCUUUGAAGUGUGGACGCCAGUCUGCAUGGAGCCGACCUUGAAAUACCACCCUUUAAUGUUUGAUGUUCUAACGUUGACCCGUAAUCCGGGUUGCGGACAGUGUCUGGUGGGUAGUUUGACUGGGGCGGUCUCCUCCUAAAGAGUAACGGAGGAGCACGAAGGUUGGCUAAUCCUGGUCGGACAUCAGGAGGUUAGUGCAAUGGCAUAAGCCAGCUUGACUGCGAGCGUGACGGCGCGAGCAGGUGCGAAAGCAGGUCAUAGUGAUCCGGUGGUUCUGAAUGGAAGGGCCAUCGCUCAACGGAUAAAAGGUACUCCGGGGAUAACAGGCUGAUACCGCCCAAGAGUUCAUAUCGACGGCGGUGUUUGGCACCUCGAUGUCGGCUCAUCACAUCCUGGGGCUGAAGUAGGUCCCAAGGGUAUGGCUGUUCGCCAUUUAAAGUGGUACGCGAGCUGGGUUUAGAACGUCGUGAGACAGUUCGGUCCCUAUCUGCCGUGGGCGCUGGAGAACUGAGGGGGGCUGCUCCUAGUACGAGAGGACCGGAGUGGACGCAUCACUGGUGUUCGGGUUGUCAUGCCAAUGGCACUGCCCGGUAGCUAAAUGCGGAAGAGAUAAGUGCUGAAAGCAUCUAAGCACGAAACUUGCCCCGAGAUGAGUUCUCCCUGACCCUUUAAGGGUCCUGAAGGAACGUUGAAGACGACGACGUUGAUAGGCCGGGUGUGUAAGCGCAGCGAUGCGUUGAGCUAACCGGUACUAAUGAACCGUGAGGCUUAACCU